UACCGUGAAACUGCGAAUGGCUCAUUAAAUCAGUUAUCGUUUAUUUGAUAGUACCUUACUACUUGGAUAACCGUGGUAAUUCUAGAGCUAAUACAUGCUAAAAACCCCAACUUCGGGAGGGGUGUAUUUAUUAGAUAAAAAACCAACGCCCUUCGGGGCUUCUUGGUGAUUCAUGAUAACUUUACGGAUCGCAKGGCCUUGCGCCGGCRACGGUUCAUUCAAAUUUCUGCCCUAUCAACUUUCGAUGGURAGGUAUUGGCUUACCAUGGUUUCAACGGGUAACGGGGAAUUAGGGUUCGAUUCCRGAGAGGGAGCCUGAGAAACGGCUACCACAUCCAAGGAAGGCAGCAGGCGCGCAAAUUACCCAAUCCCGAUACGGGGAGGUAGUGACAAUAAAUACUGAUACAGGGCUCUUUUGGGUCUUGUAAUUGGAAUGAGUACAAUUUAAACCUCUUAACGAGGAACAAUUGGAGGGCAAGUCUGGUGCCAGCAGCCGCGGUAAUUCCAGCUCCAAUAGCGUAUAUUAAAGUUGUUGCAGUUAAAAAGCUCGUAGUUGAAACUUGGGUCUGGCUGGCAGGUCCGCCUCACCGCGUGUACUUGUCCGGCCGGGCCUUCCUUCUGGAGAACCUCAUGCCCUUCACUGGGCGUGUUGGGGACCAGGACUUUUACUUUGAAAAAAUUAGAGUGUUCAAAGCAGGCCUUUGCUCGAAUACGUUAGCAUGGAAUAAUAGAAUAGGACGUGCGGUCCUAUUUUGUUGGUUUCUAGGACCGCCGUAAUGAUUAAUAGGGACAGUCGGGGGCAUCAGUAUUCAAUUGUCAGAGGUGAAAUUCUUGGAUUUAUUGAAGACUAACUACUGCGAAAGCAUUUGCCAAGGAUGUUUUCAUUAAUCAGUGAACGAAAGUUAGGGGAUCGAAGACGAUCAGAUACCGUCGUAGUCUUAACCGUAAACUAUGCCGACUAGGGAUCGGGCGAUGUUCUUUUUCUGACUCGCUCGGCACCUUACGAGAAAUCAAAG
This 1016-nucleotide ribosomal RNA is filed under the name Phaeoseptoriella sp. RNAcentral describes it as "SSU rRNA". Lineage: Eukaryota; Fungi; Ascomycota; Dothideomycetes; Pleosporales; Phaeosphaeriaceae. The record is from RNAcentral.